RNAcentral lists this long non-coding RNA (942 nucleotides) under Phoenix dactylifera (date palm). RNAcentral's name for it is "long non-coding RNA (PDAC_LNC011712)". The record is from RNAcentral. Lineage: Eukaryota; Viridiplantae; Streptophyta; Magnoliopsida; Arecales; Arecaceae.
UAGGGAUAGUGCCAAUGGGGAGGCUAGUGGUAGUACCCGGCACUAUUUGACCUAACUAUUCGGUGUAGGGCAUAUUAGGGACGGCACAAGAGGGAGGCUAGUGGUAGUACCUCGUGCCCCUUCCAACUCCACCGGAUAGAGAGCAAAUAGAAUAUAGAGCAUAGAAAAAUAAAACCGAAAAAUAAAUGAAGAUAAUCAAAAUGUUCAUUGAAUGGUUAAAGAAAGAAAUUAAAAAUUUAGAGAAUGAAUGAUAAAUAAAUGAAAAUAUAUAAGAAGGUUGUGAAAAGUCAAAUGAAGUUUCAAUCACUUGAAAACACACCUUAAGGAUAAAAUCAGUGCUAAAUUGUAUUUAAAUAAAGGAAAUUUUAUUUGAAAAGAAUUGAUUUUGAUCCAUGACAUGCUUGUUAUGUUUUGCAUACUUUGAAUUAUAUGUUUUCAAUCUUAUUAAUUUAAGAUGAGCUACAACGUAGAAGAUGCAUAUCUCAAAUUAUAAUCUUGAAAGCUUCUUUAAAAAUUUUUAUGAAAUUCANNNNNNNNNNNNNNNNNNNNNNNNNNNNNNNNNNNNNNNNNNUUUCUACUGUCGUAUUUUUGUAACUUUCAUUAUAUGCUUCAAUGAUUGCAUCAUUUUGGGGAAUAACUCAAUAUGAUUUCUAGAUGAAAACUACGGUUUAAGAAAAAUAGAAUUACUUUGGAUACCUUGGUUGUUUGCUCCGAUACGCAUCUGAAACAUAUCAUUUUUUAUCUUAUAAGUGUACUGAAAUUGGACUAAAUGAUGUAUUUUUCAAUGAUCUUGAUUGCAAAUAAAUGGUUCUAAACAUAUGAUAUUAUUUUGAUAUUAAAAAGAUUUAUGGUGCUUCAUAUAUACAUUGCUGAAAAACUAUGACUAAGAAAUUAAUAUUUUGAAUAUACACUCCUGCAUAAUUAAAUGCUUCUAUCAUUAAA